This is a long non-coding RNA of Micropterus salmoides (largemouth bass), 340 nucleotides long. RefSeq lists it as uncharacterized. The transcript has 2 exons. The record is from RefSeq and is a predicted model, not a curated record. Lineage: Eukaryota; Metazoa; Chordata; Actinopteri; Centrarchiformes; Centrarchidae.
UAAUGUCCAACCUCCAACUACAAAAAAGCACCAUGGAACGGCACUUGAAGUUGAAGUUCUUACUUGUGAACUCAGAGGAAAAAUAUGUACCCCGACUUCACGAGAAGCAGCUGAAUGACGUCACACAACAAUGGCAGCUCCCAUGGAAGCACACAUUGUAAAUGGUCAUCAAAGUUGCCAUGAGCCUAGUUGCCUUGCUGGUGUUUGCAUUUGAGUUUUCAUUUCCUGGACCUGCAUCUGACUGCCAGCCCACUGGUCUGCCAGUUUGCCUACCUGUACCUGCCUGCCUGCCAACACCUGCCUGUAAGCUCAUUCAUGAACAAUAAAUCAUUGAACUGCA